CUGGUCUACAGUGAAGUCCUCCAACAAACUGAAAAUUAGGAAGGUAAGGUCUCGGAAAUUCAAAGUCCCAGUAUGUUCUUAUCAGCCAGAUUUCAGCCUUCCCCAUCAUUUCACAGAGGCUGGUGGGUCUCCCUUAAACUUCAGUAAAGUAUGGAUCCCAGUUUAAAAUUCCAAAUUCAUAAAAUAAAAAGUCUUGGCAUAAAUAAAGCAAAAAGUUGUUCAUUCUUCCCACAAAGUUCAUUUUAUCCGUGUACAGGGUAGGUAUCCCAGGGACAUAAGAAGGAGGAGCAGGCAUCUGUCCACAGAGUCUUUCUAUUGUACUGCCAAAUGAGAACCUCAAAGUGUAGAUGAAGGGAAGGUCGAGGUGUUCUGCAAUCAUUUCACUGCCAAAGAACAGCGGAUCAGCAAGCAUCACAUCAAAGCGCUGCUGCUUAAGUUUUCCAAGUAGUUCUUUAUUCCUGAGCACACCAUCACAUAUCUGCUUUGUGACAUUGGCAAACCGAUUAAACA
Erpetoichthys calabaricus (reedfish) is the source of this 510-nucleotide long non-coding RNA. RefSeq lists it as uncharacterized. NCBI's taxonomy places the organism in Eukaryota, Metazoa, Chordata, Cladistia, Polypteriformes, Polypteridae. The record is from RefSeq and is a predicted model, not a curated record. The transcript has 4 exons.